Molecule: ribosomal RNA, 491 nt
Filed under: uncultured bacterium
Lineage: Bacteria
Description: partial 16S ribosomal RNA
Rfam family: Bacterial small subunit ribosomal RNA
Source: RNAcentral
AGUGAACGCUGGCGGUAGGCCUAACACAUGCAAGUCGAACGGCAGCACAGUAAGAGCUUGCUCUUACGGGUGGCGAGUGGCGGACGGGUGAGGAAUACAUCGGAAUCUACUUUUUCGUGGGGGAUAACGUAGGGAAACUUACGCUAAUACCGCAUACGACCUACGGGUGAAAGCAGGGGAUCUUCGGACCUUGCGCGAUUGAAUGAGCCGAUGUCGGAUUAGCUAGUUGGCGGGGUAAAGGCCCACCAGGGCGACGAUCCGUAGCUGGUCUGAGAGGAUGAUCAGCCACACUGGAACUGAGACACGGUCCAGACUCCUACGGGAGGCAGCAGUGGGGAAUAUUGGACAAUGGGCGCAAGCCUGAUCCAGCCAUACCGCGUGGGUGAAGAAGGCCUUCGGGUUGUAAAGCCCUUUUGUUGGGAAAGAAAAGCAGCAGGUUAAUACCCCGCUGUUCUGACGGUACCCAAAGAAUAAGCACCGGCGAACUUCGG